Molecule: long non-coding RNA, 993 nt
Organism: Spinacia oleracea (spinach)
Lineage: Eukaryota; Viridiplantae; Streptophyta; Magnoliopsida; Caryophyllales; Amaranthaceae
Exons: 7
Source: RefSeq, a predicted model, not a curated record
UUUAAGUUGGUGUUGCCUUUGGCAUUUCUGGGAUUUAAGAUUGUUUGAUUUCCAAGAGCUUUCUGUUCCUUUAAUUCUCUGUUUACAUCUUAUAUUUCCCCCAAAAUCAUUACCCUUUUAAUCAAUGUGCAAUGUGUAUAGUUGACCGUGUAAUCAAUGGGAUAUGUAAGUUGCUAAUUUGACAUGAUUAUAGAAGGAGAGGGGCGCUCUAUUGAAGGCCAUCUCAGAAAACCAGCAAAUCAAUACCCCAAUAUUUCCAACGAGGCUUCCAAAUUGGGCGUAGUAUGGAGAGCUUAUGCAAGCUACCUAUACUAUAGCUUCUCUAACAGCUUCGUUGAAUAUGGACCCUAAUGAAACCGCCAGAAAUUAUAGAACCAAGCUCUGCACAGAUCUAGAAAGUAGAAGUUUCCAAAUCAAUAAUUAUGGUGGUGGGUGCAAAGCGGAGAGUUGAAGAGUUGGAGGAUGACUCUCAUGCAAGUCGUAAGCAUAUUAAGACAAGGGAUCUCCAAUCAGUUCAUCAAUCUGUAGAUAGAAUGUCUGGUACGACAUAGAGGGGAGAGAAUUUGUUCGUUCAGCCGAGCCGGAAUUUCCACAUUGAGCUAGGAGAGCGUGAGAACGUUGGUAAAAAUGUCGUCUUCUUCAUCAUUGAUGUCUCCUACCCCGGAGAAUCGCAUUGUUGUAUGUUUCUUCGCACCUUUUUCUUUCUAUUUUUAGAAACUCUUGCGUAAGCUGUAUAUAACUAGAGUUUGCAAUAUCUGCAAAUACCGGGAAAGUAAAUUUACUGUUUUUUUUUUUUUUUUUUUUUUUCUGUAUUAGGAUUUCUUAUUAGGUGUUGAUAAUUUAAUUAUUAUGGAUUUGCAGCAUCAACAAGAACUUAUUGAGCAAGUUCAUUUUAUUGGGAUUUUUUUUUCUUUCUCAGUUUCUCUGUGUUGGGAUUUGCCGGUGGCAAAUUAAAGGUUUGAUUUACUCUUUGUGAACUGAGUUCCGGGGUUU